This 305-nucleotide ribosomal RNA is filed under the name uncultured bacterium. Its description in RNAcentral is "bacterial SSU rRNA". It matches the Rfam family "Bacterial small subunit ribosomal RNA", at positions 338 to 642 of the family's 1533-position model. The record is from RNAcentral.
CCUACGGGACGCAGCAGUGGGGAAUAUUGCACAAUGGGGGAAACCCUGAUGCAGCGACGCCGCGUGAGUGAAGAAGUAAUUCGUUACGUAAACCUCUUUUGUCAGGGAACAAAGACUGGGACGCGUCCCCGGAUGAGUGUACCUGAAGAAAAAGCAUCGGCUAACUCCGUGCCAGCAGCCGCGGUAAUACGGAGGAUGCGAGCGUUAUCCGGAUUUAUUGGGUUUAAAGGGUGCGCAGGCGGUCUGUUAAGUCAGCGGUCAAAGCCCGGGGCUCAUCCCCGGCCCGCCGCUGAAACUGGCAGUGU